RNAcentral lists this ribosomal RNA (253 nucleotides) under uncultured bacterium. RNAcentral describes it as "partial 16S ribosomal RNA". It matches the Rfam family "Bacterial small subunit ribosomal RNA", at positions 524 to 776 of the family's 1533-position model. The record is from RNAcentral.
UACGUAGGGACCAAGCGUUGUUCGGAUUUACUGGGCGUAAAGGGCGCGUAGGCGGCGCGGUAAGUCACUUGUGAAAUCUCUGAGCUUAACUCAGAACGGCCAAGUGAUACUGCAGUGCUAGAGUGUGGAAGGGGCAAUCGGAAUUCUUGGUGUAGCGGUGAGAUGCGUAGAUAUCAAGAGGAACACCUGAGGUGAAGACGGGUUGCUGGGCCAACACUGACGCUGAGGCGCGAAAGCCAGGGGAGCAAACGGG